This 1307-nucleotide ribosomal RNA is filed under the name Cytospora sorbicola. RNAcentral describes it as "partial large subunit ribosomal RNA". It matches the Rfam family "Eukaryotic large subunit ribosomal RNA", at positions 79 to 1415 of the family's 3401-position model. Lineage: Eukaryota; Fungi; Ascomycota; Sordariomycetes; Diaporthales; Cytosporaceae. The record is from RNAcentral.
CCUAGUAACGGCGAGUGAAGCGGCAACAGCUCAAAUUUGAAAGCUGGCUCCGGCCCGCAUUGUAAUUUGCAGAGGAUGCUUUUGGCGAGGUGCCUUCCGAGUUCCCUGGAACGGGACGCCAUAGAGGGUGAGAGCCCCGUAUGGAUGGACACCAAACCUGUGUAAAGCUCCUUCAACGAGUCGAGUAGUUUGGGAAUGCUGCUCUAAAUGGGAGGUAAAUCUCUUCUAAAGCUAAAUACCGGCCAGAGACCGAUAGCGCACAAGUAGAGUGAUCGAAAGAUGAAAAGCACCUUGAAAAGGGGGUUAAACAGUACGUGAAAUUGUUGAAAGGGAAGCAUUUAUGACCAGACUUGCGCCGGGCAGCUCAUCAGGGGUUCUCCCCUGUGCACUCUGCCCGGCUCAGGCCAGCAUCGGUUCUCGUGGGAGGAUAAGAACAGUGGGAACGUGGCCCCCCUCCGGGGGGGUGUUAUAGCCCAUUGUACGAUACUCUCGUGGGGACCGAGGUUCGCGCUCCGCAAGGAUGCUGGCGUAAUGGUCAUCAAUGACCCGUCUUGAAACACGGACCAAGGAGUCGUCCAUUAGAGCGAGCGUUUGGGUGUAAAACCCGCACGCGUAAUGAAAGUGAACGCAGGUGAGAGCUUCGGCGCAUCAUCGACCGAUCCUGAUGUCUUCGGAUGGAUUUGAGUAAGAGUUUUAACGGACGGACCCGAAAGACAGUGAACUAUGCUUGUAUAGGGUGAAGCCAGAGGAAACUCUGGUGGAGGCUCGCAGCGGUUCUGACGUGCAAAUCGAUCGUCAAAUAUGAGCAUGGGGGCGAAAGACUAAUCGAACUGUCUAGUAGCUGGUUACCGCCGAAGUUUCCCUCAGGAUAGCAGUGUUGUUCUUCAGUUUUAUGAGGUAAAGCGAAUGAUUAGGGACUCGGGGGCGCUUAUUAGCCUUCAUCCAUUCUCAAACUUUAAAUAUGUAAGAAGCCCUUGUUACUUAAUUGAACGUGGGCAUUCGAAUGUACCAACACUAGUGGGCCAUUUUUGGUAAGCAGAACGGGCGAUGCGGGAUGAACCGAACGCGGGGUUAAGGCGCCAGAGUGUACGCUCAUCAGACACCACAAAAGGCGUUAGUACAUCUUGACAGCAGGACGGUGGCCAUGGAAGUCGGAAUCCGCUAAGGACUGUGUAACAACUCACCUGCCGAAUGUACUAGCCCUGAAAAUGGAUGGCGCUCAAGCGUACCGCCCAUACCCCGCCCUCAGGGUAGAAACGAUGCCCUGAGGAGUAGGCGGCCGUGGGGGUCAGUGACGAAGCCUAGGG